RNAcentral lists this ribosomal RNA (550 nucleotides) under uncultured bacterium. RNAcentral's name for it is "bacterial SSU rRNA". It matches the Rfam family "Bacterial small subunit ribosomal RNA", at positions 355 to 896 of the family's 1533-position model. The record is from RNAcentral.
UGGGGAAUCUUCCGCAAUGGGCGAAAGCCUGACGGAGCAACGCCGCGUGAGUGAUGACGGCCUUCGGGUUGUAAAACUCUGUGACCCGGGACGAAAAGGCAGAGUGCGAAGAACAAACUGCAUUGACGGUACCGGAAAAGCAAGCCACGGCUAACUACGUGCCAGCAGCCGCGGUAAUACGUAGGUGGCAAGCGUUGUCCGGAAUUAUUGGGCGUAAAGCGCGCGCAGGCGGCUUCCCAAGUCCCUCUUAAAAGUGCGGGGCUUAACCCCGUGAUGGGAAGGAAACUGGGAAGCUGGAGUAUCGGAGAGGAAAGUGGAAUUCCUAGUGUAGCGGUGAAAUGCGUAGAGAUUAGGAAGAACACCGGUGGCGAAGGCGACUUUCUGGACGAAAACUGACGCUGAGGCGCGAAAGCGUGGGGAGCAAACAGGAUUAGAUACCCUGGUAGUCCACGCCGUAAACGAUGGAUACUAGGUGUAGGAGGUAUCGACCCCUUCUGUGCCGGAGUUAACGCAAUAAGUAUCCCGCCUGGGAAGUACGAUCGCAAGAUUA